This is a long non-coding RNA of Gymnogyps californianus (California condor), 2072 nucleotides long. RefSeq lists it as uncharacterized. The transcript is spliced from 3 exons. The record is from RefSeq and is a predicted model, not a curated record. Lineage: Eukaryota; Metazoa; Chordata; Aves; Accipitriformes; Cathartidae.
UUUCACAAAGAGGUAGGGCUAAGCUAUAAGCUUUAGGUGGACCCUAAUAAAAUGGUUCAUCGAAACAACCCAAGAGGUUUCCAUUCCCCUGGAGAAGAGGAUGUUGCAGCAGGCAGCCAAAACCAGCAGCAUGCUAGACCACGGCUAGCUAGAUCUUGGCGAAGAAGGUGUAGACAGACAGCUUCAGAGUGGCAAGGAGGAGACCAAGCCAGGGCCUUACAAGUCUACAGAUUUAGGAGUCGUGCCCCAUCUACCAGUGUGCACUGCAGUGGUGAAGGCUCUUUGGGGCUCUCUAGGAUUCCUGCACCAAGGGAGGAUGGAAAGAUUGUGGAAAUGCUGGCUAGGUCUGCCAGCUAUUGGGUACAGCAAGAACCUGCUCGAUGUUGGGUCAGAGACUGCACUGGGCUGACCUGCUCAGCAGCAGGUCAUCCUCUGAGGACACAUCUGUUACAACACCAUCUCCUAGGUGAAGAAGACAGCUUGACCUCCCUGAUAAGAGAGGAAUUUCUCUCAGUGGAUGAAGGCAAUGAUGGCAGCACUGGGGACUCUGGGACAGCCAGCUCCCAGGCAGAUGCUAGAAGUGAUGAUGCUCCCAGGAGUUUUGCAGAGGAGUAUUCAUUGGCUCCCUUAAAUACACGAAAGAAAUAUUCUGCUCAGAGUUUUGACCAGCAAGUAGAAAAUUAUUUUAAACGGCUCUGAGCUUCACCACAUCUGUUGUUUGGAAUUCUGGAGCCAAAUCUGUUGGAGAUGCAAAUGCCAGUCUUCAUGUGCACAGUUUAUAGCAAUACAGGCCGAAGCCUUCAGCAAAACCAUGAAGGUUCAAAUAGGGUAAAGCCCAGUAUAUUGCUCUUAGAUUGACAGACAGCUAGAAAGACAAAACUGUAAUGCAAAUAGCUCUUUCAUAUGACUUGCUGCCUUCUUUGGGAGUUUAAAAACCUGUAAUAAUCGUAAGGCAUUAAAAAUGGAAAAAUGACUUUGAGUCUAAGCUAAUGUAAUGACUAUUUCUUUUGCAAUUGUAAGGGAUAUACCAAGAAAUAUGGCUGUAUUUUGUCUCUUUCUCAGCAGUAGAGUCUCUUUUUAAUAACUUCUUGAAGGAUAUUUGAAAUUCAAAGCCCUCGUAUAUGCCUGUAUUUCCUUUCACAAGUGCUUUAAUUUACUGUAUAGAGGCCUAGAGGGUUAGUAUUUUUGUGUGGUUUUUUCUUGAUCUGCAUCUGAAAAUUCUACUCCACUGCAUAGCUGCUUAUAUAUGAAUAAUCAAAUAUAUGUACAAUAAUGUGAGACAGCUAAAGCACAUCCUGCUUAAAAAAGAAAAAGGAAACCCACACCCUCUAGCUGUGGUUAACUUGUCACAUAAAUAAAAAAAAAAUUUUGGAGGACCUUAUUGAAUUUUUCUGUUCUUGUGAGAUAGUGUGUAGCUGAAAAUCACAAUCUGGAUUUCUCAGCUUAGAAAUCAGCUGAGAAACUUCAGCUUGGAAUUUUUUCCUUUAUUUAGCCAAUGGGUAGACUUUAGAAAUAUAGCUUAGCCUAACAGUAAAACUACAGUGCAUGGUUACUGGAAAACAGGUAUACUUCAGGAACUAAUCUUUCAUGUUAUCUGGAAAUGCAUCCUAUUGACAAGGUUUGGCUAUGUCUCAAAGGUGACUCUCUUUACAAUGAACAGACUUGAAAUAUUGGAUAUAAUUAAAAAAUAGACUUUUGAAGCAAGAUUUUGGUAGUGGAUUUUCUUUCUGUACCUUGGUAGGUAGAUAAUCAUAUAAAUUAUCUCUAUUAUUGCUCACUUGGUUUGUGCAGCUUCUGCUAUAACCCUUUUUAAUGGUCACAUAUUUGCAGUGUAUUGCUUUUUGCAUGGUUAAACUUCUGCAAGCAAAGAGUGAGUCUUCUGUUUUGGAUGACAGGAGCGGAAACAAAGGGGUGGUGGCUGUCUAUUCUGUCCAUAGCACAUAGGAGCUGUGCUGUUGCAGGAAAAAGACAGUCAAUGUCAUGAAGAUACUGCAAAUGCUUGCAUCCUAAUCCAACAUACCAAUAAAUGAUAUGCUUAACCUCUAAAGAAGGCUUGUUGACUUCGCUUAACC